CCUACGGGAGGCAGCAGUGGGGGAUAUUGGACAAUGGGGGGAACCCUGAUCCAGCGACGCCGCGUGCGUGAAGAAGUAUUUCGGUAUGUAAAGCUCUGUCAGCAGGGAAGAAAGAAAUGACGGUACCUGACCAAGAAGCCCCGGCUAACUACGUGCCAGCAGCCGCGGUAAUACGUAGGGGGCAAGCGUUAUCCGGAAUUACUGGGUGUAAAGGGAGCGUAGACGGUUAAGUAAGUCUGGUGUGAAAGGCCGGGGCCCAACCCCGGGACUGCUCUGGAAACUAUUGAACUUGAGUGCAGGGGAGGUAAGCGGAAUUCCUAGUGUAGCGGUGAAAUGCGUAGAUAUUAGGAGGAACACCAGUGGCGAAGGCGGCUUACUGGACUGUAACUGACGUUGAUGCUCGAAAGCGUGGGGAGCGAACAGGAUUAGAUACCCUGGUAGUC
RNAcentral lists this ribosomal RNA (443 nucleotides) under uncultured bacterium. Its description in RNAcentral is "partial 16S ribosomal RNA". It matches the Rfam family "Bacterial small subunit ribosomal RNA", at positions 338 to 795 of the family's 1533-position model. The record is from RNAcentral.